Molecule: long non-coding RNA, 1272 nt
Organism: Peromyscus eremicus (cactus mouse)
Lineage: Eukaryota; Metazoa; Chordata; Mammalia; Rodentia; Cricetidae
Exons: 3
Source: RefSeq, a predicted model, not a curated record
UGAGGACCGCGGCCCCGCGCACGCGUAGAAGGGCCGGGCGCCCGCAACCCACUGGGGGAGGAAAAAAGGAGAGAAAUCACCUCAGAGUUACGUCAGGAAAGGCCGCGUUUUGCGGGGAGGCCGUAACCCCCAACAGGGCCCAACGUCCUUCGAGGGCGCGAGACGUGACGGUUACUCACCACUCUUCAGCCCCGGGGCAGAGGCAGUGACCAGCCACCUCAUGUUUCUGCUGCCUGCCAUGAUGUCCCUUCCCCACCAUGAUGGACUGCACCUUUAAACCCUUCCUAAGUUCUCCUGUCAGGAUCUGUAUGUGUAAUGUUGUCCUGUCCUGGACAGGAGAACUGGAAACCUUCAUCCACCUCCAAAGUGUUGAAGAGGCAGAUAUGCUGUGUGGCACAGCCUUCACUGCUCUCCCAGCCAGAGCCACACCUCCAGCACUUCCAACAAGCAGCUCAGAUACAAAGAGGUCCCAGGAAAACGCAGUGACACUUGCCUGUCUGCAGCUUUUCUUCUUGAGUGAGUUUUAGUGAGUAUUAUGUUGAUGCUGCUGCUGCCAUGGCCACCAUCCUCCAUCGACAUCAGACUCCAGCUUCUUCAGUCUUCCAACAGAGACUAAAUACCAGCGACUCUCCAGAGAGUUUCCAGGUUUUCAGAAUGGACUAGGCCCACAGUAGUAGAUUGACACUGCUGAUGUAUUCAUUUUCGUGGAGUGGGUUUCUCAGCCUCUUUGGCUUGCAUGGCUAUUGAUGGGCUAGCCAGCCUCUAUAGUAUAUAUGUACUCAUUGGUUCUGUCUCUCUAAAGAACCUUGCCUAAAACAAUGUCCAAUGGAAGAGAACACCAAUACCAAAUGGUUGGCCUUGAAAACAUACAUGCAAAUAAUAUUGUACAGACUGAGAGGGUUGUAUUUAGGAAAAAAUAUAUACAUAUGGGUAUAUGGGAGGAUUUGGAUGAAGGAAAGAAAGAGGAAAUGAUGCAAUUAUAUUAUAAUAUAAAAAAUAUAAAAUAAGUAAUAACAAAGAGGAGAAAAAGAAUGGAAAUGCAGAAAAAUAGGAACCAGAUAUAUGGUAGGUUCUCAAUUUAUAACCCAGGCUGCCCUCAAACUCAUUAACACUACUGCCUCAGCCUACUGACUACUGGGAUUACAGAGCUACCACACCCAGGAAAAGAUUUUCAUUUGAACAGAGUUAAAAAAUAUGUGUUAGAGAUCACCAGUAUUCACUUGGUUUUAUUUGGGAUGGCAAUGUGCUUCACUAAAUAACUGCCCUUUCUAA